RNAcentral lists this ribosomal RNA (497 nucleotides) under uncultured bacterium. RNAcentral describes it as "partial 16S ribosomal RNA". It matches the Rfam family "Bacterial small subunit ribosomal RNA", at positions 28 to 507 of the family's 1533-position model. The record is from RNAcentral.
GAUGAACGCUGGCGGCGUGCCUAAUACAUGCAAGUCGAGCGAACAGACGAGGAGCUUGCUCCUUUGACGUUAGCGGCGGACGGGUGAGUAACACGUGGGUAACCUACCUAUAAGGCUGGGAUAACUUCGGGAAACCGGAGCUAAUACCGGAUAAUAUUUCGAACCGCAUGGUUCGAUAGUGAAAGAUGGCUCUGCUAUCACUUAUAGAUGGACCUGCGCCGUAUUAGCUAGUUGGUAAGGUAACGGCUUACCAAGGCAACGAUACGUAGCCGACCUGAGAGGGUGAUCGGCCACACUGGAACUGAGACACGGUCCAGACUCCUACGGGAGGCAGCAGUAGGGAAUCUUCCGCAAUGGGCGAAAGCCUGACGGAGCAACGCCGCGUGAGUGAUGAAGGUCUUCGGAUCGUAAAACUCUGUUAUUAGGGAAGAACAAACGUGUAAGUAACUGUGCACGUCUUGACGGUACCUAAUCAGAAAGCCACGGCUAACUACGUG